UGGGGAAUCUUGGACAAUGGGCGCAAGCCUGAUCCAGCCAUGCCGCGUGAGUGAAGAAGGCCUUCGGGUUGUAAAGCUCUUUUACCAGGGACGAUAAUGACGGUACCUGGAGGAUAAGCCCCGGCAAACUUCGUGCCAGCAGCCGCGGUAAUACGAAGGGGGCUAGCGUUGUUCGGAAUUACUGGGCGUAAAGCGCACGUAGGCGGAUUGUUAAGUCAGAGGUGAAAUCCCGGAGCUCAACUUCGGAACUGCCUUUGAUACUGGCAAUCUAGAGUCCGGAAGAGGUUAGUGGAAUUCCCAGUGUAGAGGUGAAAUUCGUAGAUAUUGGGAAGAACACCAGUGGCGAAGGCGGCUAACUGGUCCGGUACUGACGCUGAGGUGCGAAAGCGUGGGGAGCAAACAGGAUUAGAUACCCGUGUAGUCCCUGAGCGGGCUGGCAAGGCGCAU
This 447-nucleotide ribosomal RNA is filed under the name uncultured bacterium. RNAcentral's name for it is "bacterial SSU rRNA". It matches the Rfam family "Bacterial small subunit ribosomal RNA", at positions 355 to 825 of the family's 1533-position model. The record is from RNAcentral.